GAUGAACGCUGGCGGCGUGCCUAAUACAUGCAAGUCGAGCGAACGGACGAGAAGCUUGCUUCUCUGAUGUUAGCGGCGGACGGGUGAGUAACACGUGGAUAACCUACCUAUAAGACUGGGAUAACUUCGGGAAACCGUAGCUAAUACCGGAUAAUAUUUUGAACCGCAUGGUUCAAAAGUGAAAGACGGUCUUGCUGUCACUUAUAGAUGGAUCCGCGCUGCAUUAGCUAGUUGGUAAGGUAACGGCUUACCAAGGCAACGAUGCAUAGCCGACCUGAGAGGGUGAUCGGCCACACUGGAACUGAGACACGGACCAGACUCCUACGGGAGGCAGCAGUAGGGAAUCUUACGCAAUGGGCGAAAGCCUGACGGAGCAACGCCGCGUGAGUGAUGAAGGUCUUCGGAUCGUAAAACUCUGUUAUUAGGGAAGAACAUAUGUGUAAGUAACUGUGCACAUCUUGACGGUACCUAAUCAGAAAGCCACGGCUAACUACGUG
Molecule: ribosomal RNA, 497 nt
Filed under: uncultured bacterium
Lineage: Bacteria
Description: partial 16S ribosomal RNA
Rfam family: Bacterial small subunit ribosomal RNA
Source: RNAcentral